CCUACGGGUGGCUGCAGUGAGGAAUAUUGGUCAAUUUACUAUAUUCUUAACCAUCCAAUUAUCUUUAAUGAUGACUGCCCUAUGGGUUGUAAACUUCUUUUAUAUGGGAAUAAAACGUUCCACGUGUGGGAUUUUGUAUGUACCAUAUGAAUAAGGAUCGGCUAACUCCGUGCCAGCAGCCGCGGUAAUACGGAGGAUCCGAGCGUUAUCCGGAUUUAUUGGGUUUAAAGGGAGCGUAGGUGGAUUGUUAAGUCAGUUGUGAAAGUUUGCGGCUCAACCGUAAAAUUGCAGUUGAAACUGGCAGUCUUGAGUACAGUAGAGGUGGGCGGAAUUCGUGGUGUAGCGGUGAAAUGCUUAGAUAUCACGAAGAACUCCGAUUGCGAAGGCAGUUCACUGGACUGCAACUGACACUGAGGCUCGAAAGUGUGGGUAUCAAACAGGAUUAGAUACCCUUGUAGUC
RNAcentral lists this ribosomal RNA (460 nucleotides) under uncultured bacterium. Its description in RNAcentral is "partial 16S ribosomal RNA". It matches the Rfam family "Bacterial small subunit ribosomal RNA", at positions 338 to 795 of the family's 1533-position model. The record is from RNAcentral.